This 108-nucleotide small nuclear RNA is filed under the name Microcebus murinus (gray mouse lemur). Lineage: Eukaryota; Metazoa; Chordata; Mammalia; Primates; Cheirogaleidae. The record is from RNAcentral.
GUGCUCGCUCCGGCAGCACAUACACUAAAAUUGGAACGAUACAGAGAAGAUUAGCAUGGUCCCUGUGCAAGGAUGAUAAAAUUAAAAAAAUAAGAAUAAAAAAAUAAA